AGUCACUGACAUUAGAUACCCCCGUAGUCCAGGGUGUAAACGCUGCAGACUUGGUGUUGGAAGCCCUUUGGGGGCAUUCAGUGCCGGAGAGAAGUUGUUAAGUCUGCUACUUGGGAGUACGUCCGCAAGGAUGAAACUUAAAGGAAUUGGCGGGGGAGCACCGCAACGGGAGGAGCGUGCGGUUUAAUUGGAUUCAACACCGUAAACUCACCAGGGAAGACUGUUACAUGAAGGCCGAGAUGAAGACUCUGCUAGAUUUUCAG
Molecule: ribosomal RNA, 263 nt
Filed under: uncultured archaeon
Lineage: Archaea
Description: partial 16S ribosomal RNA
Rfam family: Archaeal small subunit ribosomal RNA
Source: RNAcentral